CUGGCGGCAGGCCUAACACAUGCAAGUCGAGCGCACUCCUCGGAGUGAGCGGCGGACGGGUUAGUAACGCGUGGGAACAUACCCUUUUCUACGGAAUAGCCUCGGGAAACUGAGAGUAAUACCGUAUACGCCCUUUUGGGGAAAGAUUUAUCGGUGAAGGAUUGGCCCGCGUUUGAUUAGAUAGUUGGUGGGGUAAUGGCCUACCAAGUCUACGAUCAAUAGCUGGUUUGAGAGGAUGAUCAGCAACACUGGGACUGAGACACGGCCCAGACUCCUACGGGAGGCAGCAGUGGGGAAUCUUAGACAAUGGGCGCAAGCCUGAUCUAGCCAUGCCGCGUGAGUGACGAAGGCCUUAGGGUCGUAAAGCUCUUUCGCCAGGGAUGAUAAUGACAGUACCUGGUAAAGAAACCCCGGCUAACUCCGUGCCAGCAGCCGCGGUAAUACGGAGGGGGUUAGCGUUGUUCGGAAUUACUGGGCGUAAAGCGUACGUAGGCGGAUUGGAAAGUAUGGGGUGAAAUCCCAGGGCUCAACCCUGGAACUGCCCUGUAAACUAUCAGUCUAGAGUUCGAGAGAGGUGAGUGGAAUUCCAAGUGUAGAGGUGAAAUUCGUAGAUAUUUGGAGGAACACCAGUGGCGAAGGCGGCUCACUGGCUCGAUACUGACGCUGAGGUACGAAAGUGUGGGGAGCAAACAGGAUUAGAUACCCUGGUAGUCCACACCGUAAACGAUGAAUGCCAGACGUCGGGGGGUUGCCCCUUCGGUGUCACACCUAACGGAUUAAGCAU
Molecule: ribosomal RNA, 784 nt
Filed under: uncultured marine bacterium
Lineage: Bacteria
Description: bacterial SSU rRNA
Rfam family: Bacterial small subunit ribosomal RNA
Source: RNAcentral